Molecule: transfer RNA, 76 nt
Filed under: Campylobacter showae RM3277
Lineage: Bacteria; Pseudomonadati; Campylobacterota; Epsilonproteobacteria; Campylobacterales; Campylobacteraceae
Description: tRNA-Gln
Rfam family: tRNA
About the family: Transfer RNA (tRNA) molecules are approximately 80 nucleotides in length. Their secondary structure includes four short double-helical elements and three loops (D, anti-codon, and T loops).
Source: RNAcentral
UUACCCUGUAGUUUAGUGGUAGAACUGCUGACUCUGGAUCAGCUAACAGAGGUUCGAAUCCUUUCAGGGUAACCAU